AAUCCCUUCGAAGAGAGGUUUUAUUUUUUUUGAUAAACCCCUUGAAGAGAGUUGAAUUCAGAAGAAUGAUGCAUAGGACGUUAUCACAAGUUCAGCCAAAUUCAAGGAAUGAUCUUUAGAACUAAAAAUGGAGCUCUCACUCUUUCUUCAAACCUCUUCAAAACCCUCGCACCCUUUCUCAAUUCCUCUCCAUUUUCUUCAAUCCCCAAACCCAAUUUCUCCACUCCCAGAAGACCUGCUUCACUCAUUGUGCCACCACCACCACCACCACCACCAACAACAACCUCACGCACUGUAAGUUCUUCUGAUUUCAACACAAUCUGUUCUUUACUAAUUUCAAGCCAACCCCAUCAAACCACAACAAAUAUUGAUGAUUUGUUAAAGGGUUUUGAAGAAAAGUUGAACUCUAAUCUUGUGCUUCAAAUUCUGAUGAACUAUAGACAGUUGGGUAGGAUUAAGACCUUGGAAUUCUUUGCUUGGGCUGGAAUGCAAAUGGGUUUUAAGUUUGAUGACUGUGUUGUUGAGUACAUGGCUGAUUUCUUAGGUAGGAGGAAGCUAUUUGAUGAUAUCAAGUGUCUUUUGGUGACUGUGUUCUUACAUAAAGGUCGAGUUUCGUGUCGAACAUUUUCGAUUUGUAUUAGGUUUUUGGGUAGGCAAGGGAGAGUUAGAGAAGCCCUUUGCUUGUUUCAGGAAAUGGAAUCACAAUUUAGGUGUAAACCCGAUAAUCUUGUGUACAAUAAUAUGCUCUAUGUGCUUUGCAAGAAGGAAAGAUCUGAGGAACUAAUUGAUUUUGCACUAAUGAUUUUUAGGAGAAUCGAAUUGCCGGAUACGUAUUCGUAUAGUAAUAUUCUUGUUGGUUUAUGUAAAUUUGGUAGGUUUGAGACUGCACUUGAUGUUUUUGGUGAAAUGGGUAGGGCUGGUUUAGUUCCUACUCGGUCUGCGGUGAACUUUCUUAUUGGGCAGUUGUGUUCAUUGAGUGCAAAAGAGGGAGCUGUUGAGAAAGUUAGAGUGAAAGAUGCUCAUAGACCCUUUACAAUUUUAGUUCCAAAUGUGGGUGCUAACAGUGGUGCCGUACAGCCUGCAGUUGCAGUGUUUUGGGCAGUUCAUGAGAUGGGUUUAUUACCUAGUACAUUUGUUAUAAAGCAGCUGAUUUCAGAGCUUUGUCGAUUGGGUAAAAUGGAAGAAGCUGUUAAGUUGUUGAAACUUGUUGAGGGAAGGAAGCUGAGUUGUGUGGAAGAAGGUUACUCUAUUGUCAUACAGGCAUUGUGUGAACACCGAUUGGUAGAGGAAGCCAGCCAUUUGUUUGGGAGGAUGCUCUCCCAGGGCAUGAAGCCAAAGUUGGUUAUUUACAAUUCUGUUAUUUCAAUGCUAUGCAAAUUAGGGAAUUUAGAUGAUGCUAAAAGGGUUUUUGAGAUAAUGAAUAAUAAGAGAUGCCUUCCAGAUAAUUUUACCUAUUCGGCAUUGAUCCUUGCUUAUGGUGAAGCUAGGAAUUGGGAAGAUGCUUAUGGCUUAUUGAUUGAGAUGUUAGGACUGGGCUUAUCUCCACAUUUUCACACAUAUAGUUUAGUGGAUAAACUUUUGAGGGAUAAUGCAAAGUUGGAUUUGUUAUUCAAAUUGGAGCGGAAAUUGGACUCUCAGAUCUUGCAGAAGCUCUGUAAAGCAGGUGAACUAGGGGCUGCUUAUGAAAAGCUAAAAUCAUUACUUGAAAAGGGUUUUUAUCCACCAGUCUAUAUAAAGGAUGCUUUUGAACAUGCAUUUAAAAAGAGUGGAAAAUUGAAGAUGGCUCGUGAAUUGCUACAGAAGAUUGACAAUGACUGCAAACCUGAUGAGACAGAAAUCAGAAGUUCUGAAUAAACCAUCAGCAAGAAGGGUAUUUGAGUAUCUGCGUGCUUGUUCAUUGCAUCAAUGUAGAUAUAUCUGAAUUUUCCAAAUUUAAGCCACCAUUAAAGAACCAAGCCCGUACAGCCAUUGGGGAGGAUGGCACUACCGGGAAAAAAAAAAAAAAAAGUCUUGUCUUUGUCCUAUGUUGAAAACAAUUCUAUGCAAGAAGUAUGCUUUCUGCAGCAGCAAGCUUCCAAGCAGGAAACUAGCACCCAGGAUCAGGGGAAGCUGCAGGUCAGUGCAGCCCAGCGUGCAUUGCAGCAGCAGGGUGCGGCCCAGCAUGCACCACAGGGUCAGGAAAAGAUGCAAGUGAAUGCAGGCCACAGUGCAUCACAGUAUCAGUGGAAGACCAGUGCCUUAUCAUGAUCAGAUUAUUCAUUCAAUUCAAGGGAUGAUGCCACAUGGUCUGGAAGUUAUUAGUUGAUGUACACGUGUAAUGAUUAGGUAGCUUUAGUUGUAACAAACUUUCCCUCCAAAACAGGGAGUUUGUUAUUUUUGCUUUCUUUGUACACGAUUGUAUAUAAAAGGAUAGAGAUAGUGAAUUAGAUCAGUUAGUUGGAUUGUAAUCUUUUCUAAUCAAUGAAAAUCGAUCAGUUUCUAUUUA
This is an RNA transcript of Quercus robur (English oak), 2485 nucleotides long. It is a transcript of the gene named pentatricopeptide repeat-containing protein At3g22470, mitochondrial-like, with no coding region annotated. NCBI's taxonomy places the organism in Eukaryota, Viridiplantae, Streptophyta, Magnoliopsida, Fagales, Fagaceae. The transcript is spliced from 2 exons. The record is from RefSeq and is a predicted model, not a curated record.